RNAcentral lists this non-coding RNA (56 nucleotides) under unclassified sequences. Its description in RNAcentral is "S15-Flavobacteria ribosomal protein leader". It matches the Rfam family "S15-Flavobacteria ribosomal protein leader". The record is from RNAcentral.
UAUAUUUGCGCCGCUGAUUAGCAUACAUAAAAAUCAUUUAAAAUAAUAUUGGCAUG